GUAGUGAGGGGCUACCCCGGCCGGGCGCUGAGCGCGAGCCCCGGGCGCUGAGUGACGCUGGGGGAGGCGCUGGGAGCGCUCCUGCGGCGGAGCGGGACGAGCGGGGAGCCGGGCUGCAGCCGGGGGGCCGCUGUGCGGGUGUACGGGACCGGGUGCGGUACUACACAUUUCAGAAUCAUGGAGACAUGCUGAAUAAGGAGAGAAGGGGGGCUGUAUGGAGACGGAGGGCUGUCCAGUCCUACAGGAAGUGUUUCGCAAACAAUGGCAAUACAGUAAUAAUGCUCUGCAUUUAUGUAGUAUUUUUCAUCCAGAGGUGUCAGCACGCUUCAAAAAAGUGCUUAUGAAUCAGUAUCUUAUUUCACAGCCUGCAAACACAAGGUCCAAAGAUGUCCAUGAGAAGAUUUGCGUAUGCAGUACAGAUCUGCAUUGCUGUUUGGAAGAGAAAAUUGUUGCCCUUGGUUUUACCUUUUGUGAAUGCCCUAACCCUAACCCUGUCCUUUCCCUCACAUGAGGCACACAGCCUUACAACAACUGUGAUUUGGGAUGAGGGAAUGAUGGUUUUAGAGAUAGCAGAAUGCUUUACAACUCUUUAGAAAUGUUAAAAUGGAGAUGUUUUUAAAAAUAUAUACAUACUGGUCCAGAAAAUAGUGAGGUGGGUGUUCAUUCAGAUGAAAUGAUUAGUGAGUGAGUCACAAUACUACAGAAGGACAGCGAGGGAGGACAGGCAGCAAGUAUUUGGAUUCUGGCACAGCUGUGGUUACAAGUGUGGCUCUGAAGAGGCAAACAGUACAUAAGGUCUUAGCAUCAUGUGGCUACACUGGAACUCAGCUUCUGCAGACUCUAAGAUUUCUUAUAAAAAAGAAAAGUACCUUUCUAGGCCCCUAGGGCUGCAGGGUGACUCUUUCAAGCAUGGAGAACAUGCACACGAAAGCUUAUGCUCAAACAAAUUUGUUAGUCUCUAAGGUGCCACAAGUACUCCUGUUCUUCUUACUAGUGUCAUGGUGUCUGCUUGAAUCCAGACCACCUGAAAUAGUGAUUCAGAGGGUGAAUCACCCUUACCCUGUUGAUCUCAAUCCUGAGGCAAUGCUAAAGCGCAGUGAGGACACUUCAUUGUCACCAUUACUGGUAUCAUUGCCAGGGGCAGCUCCAGGCACCAGCACGCCAAGUGCGUGCCUGGGGCGGCAAGCCACGGGGGGCGCUCUGCUGGUCGCUGCAAGGGCGGCAGGCAGGUUGCCUUCAGCAGCAUG
Long non-coding RNA from Mauremys reevesii (Reeves's turtle), 1247 nucleotides. RefSeq lists it as uncharacterized. Lineage: Eukaryota; Metazoa; Chordata; Testudines; Geoemydidae. The transcript is spliced from 3 exons. The record is from RefSeq and is a predicted model, not a curated record.